Molecule: transfer RNA, 84 nt
Filed under: Promethearchaeota archaeon Loki_b31
Lineage: Archaea; Promethearchaeati; Promethearchaeota
Description: Candidatus Lokiarchaeota archaeon Loki_b31 tRNA-Ser
Rfam family: tRNA
About the family: Transfer RNA (tRNA) molecules are approximately 80 nucleotides in length. Their secondary structure includes four short double-helical elements and three loops (D, anti-codon, and T loops).
Source: RNAcentral
GCAGACAUUGCCUAGCCUGGUACGGCGCCGGCUUGGAGAGCCGGUGUGUGAAAGCAUCCGAGGGUUCGAAUCCCUCUGUCUGCG